AGCGCAGGCGGUGCGGCAAGUCUGAUGUGAAAGCCCGGGGCUCAACCCCGGUACUGCAUUGGAAACUGUCGUACUAGAGUGUCGGAGGGGUAAGCGGAAUUCCUAGUGUAGCGGUGAAAUGCGUAGAUAUUAGGAGGAACACCAGUGGCGAAGGCGGCUUACUGGACAAUAACUGACGCUGAGGCUCGAAAGCGUGGGGAGCAAACA
This 207-nucleotide ribosomal RNA is filed under the name uncultured bacterium. Its description in RNAcentral is "partial 16S ribosomal RNA". It matches the Rfam family "Bacterial small subunit ribosomal RNA", at positions 568 to 774 of the family's 1533-position model. The record is from RNAcentral.